CCUACGGGAGGCAGCAGUCGAGAAUCAUUCACAAUGGGGGAAACCCUGAUGGUGCGACGCCGCGUGGGGGAAUGAAGGUCUUCGGAUUGUAAACCCCUGUCAUGUAGGAGCAAAUUAAAAAGAUAGUACCACAAGAGGAAGAGACGGCUAACUCUGUGCCAGCAGCCGCGGUAAUACAGAGGUCUCAAGCGUUGUUCGGAAUCACUGGGCGUCAAGCGUGCGUAGGCUGUUUCGUAAGUCGUGUGUGAAAGGCGCGGGCUCAACCCGCGGACGGCACAUGAUACUGCGAGACUAGAGUAAUGGAGGGGGAACCGGAAUUCUCGGUGUAGCAGUGAAAUGCGUAGAUAUCGAGAGGAACACUCGUGGCGAAGGCGGGUUCCUGGACAUUAACUGACGCUGAGGCACGAAGGCCAGGGGAGCGAAAGGGAUUAGAUACCCUGGUAGUC
This 446-nucleotide ribosomal RNA is filed under the name uncultured bacterium. Its description in RNAcentral is "partial 16S ribosomal RNA". It matches the Rfam family "Bacterial small subunit ribosomal RNA", at positions 338 to 795 of the family's 1533-position model. The record is from RNAcentral.